Molecule: long non-coding RNA, 841 nt
Filed under: Vulpes vulpes (red fox)
Lineage: Eukaryota; Metazoa; Chordata; Mammalia; Carnivora; Canidae
Description: lncRNA (ENSVVUG00000014352.1)
Source: RNAcentral
CCUCGCGGGAGCAGCGCCCGCCGGCCCGCGGAUGCUCUGAGCGCCCCCGGCGCCCCCGCCUCCCGGGAAGAAGCGGCAGCCCCUCCCCGGGCUCCGCUAGGGCGCUCAGGCGGCCGCCGCGGCCACCUCCCCAUCGCUAGGACCCCGGCCGGCCACGGAGCAGGGGGCCUUCGGGGGCCGGACGUGGUCGCGCGAGACUUGGGCGCUCGCAGAGCCCCGGAGGGGCCGGCCGUGCGGGGCCGCCCUGGCUCUCCCGCCCUUCGCGCUGUCCCGCUGCGCGCCGCCGCCCCCAGGUUGCGGACCGUCGGGCCGCUGCUCCCGCGCAGAGCCGGUCCCCAGGUUAGGCGGACGACGGGCAGGGCUCCCGGGAGAGGGCACCCGGUGUUCGGAGACGGCCCACGCGGAGUCGCCGAGUGUCGGGCCGGCGGAAGCCCUGGGAAGGGCCCCGACGGGACCUCGACGGCCUCACCUGCUGCGGGUCCGCUCGGGACGGCCCGUCCCCGUCUGCCGCUGCCCGCUGUGCGCGCACACCCUCCCCAAGGUAUUUUUAGGUCUGAAAGGAGUCUCUUCCAGGCAACAUAUAGAUGGGUCUUAUAUUUUUAUCCACUCUGGGAAGUAACAGCUCCUAAGCUCCUUAGAUGCUGCACUAAAAACUGCAAGUUGACUGUCUUUUCUUCCUUGUUCAAGCAUUGUUACCACAGUGUUUUGGGCUAAUGUACUGGAAACCUUAAAAACGCAUCAGUUUUUGAAGCCAGAUGAAACUUCAAGUCACAGCCCUGCCACUUACUAUGUGAUUUUGGGGAAAAUACUUAAGUUCUAGGAACCUUUGGUUUUCUUAUCU